Molecule: long non-coding RNA, 947 nt
Organism: Varanus komodoensis (Komodo dragon)
Lineage: Eukaryota; Metazoa; Chordata; Lepidosauria; Squamata; Varanidae
Exons: 3
Source: RefSeq, a predicted model, not a curated record
AUUCUCAUCCCUAAGGGGGCGGAGAGAGCUCCUGCCUAGCGGGGCCUAACGCGGCUCUCGUACUUCGCACGAAUGUGCCGGUGGCGCAUAUUGUGUCCUGCGCCCCUCCCCGGCCGCUUCCGGAGGGCGGUGCCUCAGGAGCUUGCGCGUAAUAGAAAGGGGCGACGUGCGUGGGACAAAAUGGGAGAAAAGGGCGGGCGAGGGAGUUUAAGUGUUGUGUAAAAGAUCUUGCAAGGCUUCCCUGUGCUCAGGACUUGUACAUGCUGCCAUGGGUACCUCCUCACUUUAGCAGUUGGCAGUUAAGAUUCUGCUCUGGAUGCUCUCACCUUUGAAAGCUGGGAGUACAUCCAGUGUUCGCCAGACAUGGUCCCCUGAGUAUGGAAUACCUUCUCCAAGCGACUGCCUGGUGACCACAUUGGUAUAGGUGCCAAGUAAAAUUUUUGUUCAAGUUUUUAAACAUUAAUGCUGGAUUAAUGGCAAUUUUAGCUGUCUUCGUUGCUUUGUAAUUGAUUCUUGUAUUGUGUUGAUCUGUUGCAAGCCAUGCUGGAGAUUGGACAUCUUUAAAAUAAGAUUAAAGUGUGGGAUAUUGCUCUUACAACUUUUGGAACACUCUGUGGUUAAAAUGUGCAUACUUGGAUUAAAUGUUGUAGGGCUCCUUUUGUGCACUGGGUCUGUUGUUUGUAGCGUAUAGGCACUAGUUGGCAUCUCAAAACAUUUCUAAAAAGUAUAUCUGAGUUGUUAAAGAAAGCUGGCUCUUAUGGACUGGAAAAAAAUACCUUUCAGGUGUGUUUGUUUCUAGUUUUAGAAGAGAUAAUGAAUGAAUACUUUCUUUAACAAGACAGCAUUGGAUUGAGAAGGUAAGCAAAAAGUUCAAGGACACAGCCAUCCAGUAUUUGCAUAAAUGCCACAUUUAUUUUUAACUGAACAAUGCCUUAAGUGUACACAAU